This 1309-nucleotide long non-coding RNA is filed under the name Cyanistes caeruleus (blue tit). Its description in RNAcentral is "lncRNA (ENSCCEG00000021814.1)". The record is from RNAcentral. Lineage: Eukaryota; Metazoa; Chordata; Aves; Passeriformes; Paridae.
AUGGUGGGAGGUAGAUUCCCACUGGUGUCAGUGGGCAUGGCCAGGAACGUGCUGGCCAUGCCCUGUGCAGAGCUGAGAACACACAUUCAUCUGUGUCCCCAAUGUCCUGUCACUGCACAAGAAGUUUGCGGCCACCAGCAUUGCUGUGACUGGUUUAGGGACACCAACCACAGGGAAUUUGUUUCUGUUUUAGUACAAACCUUUUUCCAAGGAGAUACAGACCCAGCCAUACCGUGCCCUGGAAGUGCUUCUUGGACUAGACUACGGCACCCCUGCGGAUAUCUGGAGUACAGCCUGCCUGGCAUUUGAAAUGGCAACUGGGGAGUGUCUAUUUGAUCCUCAACCCGGGAAAUACUUCUCCAGAGAUGAUGGUAGGACUCCAUGAGUUUUAUUCAUUUCACUGACAGAAGUGUUACAGUCUGUAUCUAAAUCUGUCUUCCCUCCCUCCAUCUAGAUCAUGUUGCUCGUAUUAUUGAACUCUUGGGAAGAAUUCCUCCUCAAAUCCUUUUCUCAUGGAACAAGUCAACAAAUUUUUUCAGCAGGCCAGGUAAGAACUGGCAGAAGGAAGUUUAUUUUAAAAAUCACUGCAGAUCUGACACACUCCUACUCAGCUCAUGCUGAACUCCCCCAAAAGUUACUCACACAAUGCAGGCUACAAGCAGGGAUGGAACACAAAUGGAAAUUUCAUAAAGAGCAGUAACACUCCCUGCCUUGCCUAUCCUUGCAGUCCGUGAGCAUUCCAAGGAUGAAUGCAAAAUCCUGAAAGAUGGUUAUAGCAAAUGCCUAACAGGGAAAGCAUUUCCAUUCUUUCUCCUCUGGAUUUGGAGAAAAUGGAAAUACAGACAGGAAACAGCUCCAUGCCAGGAAGGCUGAGGAGUUUGUAACAGGCUGAAUUUCACCCAUUCGCUGGCAGAAAACAAUGAUGACCAGGAAUGGGGCACUCAUAUCCUUCCAAUGAGGCUGCUAUAUUUAGUCUUCUGACCCAACUGUAACAUCUCUUCUGUUUUAUUCUCCCCAGUUCCUUUCCCUUUGACUCAUGAGUCUUGAAACCCUUCUUUGACCACAAGGCAUCACAUGACUCCACCCUUCUGCAAUCUGGCCUAUCAUCCUUCUCUGCUCCCAUGCUUACCUACCCACCCACAGUUCAUUCAGUGCUUAGUACUGGUCCCAUGCUGGAAUGAAUUUAACAAGCACCUCCCUGCACACCCACAUCCUUUGCUCGCACUUACGUCUUCUAAGGUGUUUAAAAGAAAUGAGUCAAAAUUAGUUCUACAUUCACUCUCCCUGUGAACCAACCUGGCCUGACCAU